This is an RNA transcript of Eriocheir sinensis (Chinese mitten crab), 2803 nucleotides long. RefSeq lists it as uncharacterized. The record is from RefSeq and is a predicted model, not a curated record. The transcript has 12 exons. NCBI's taxonomy places the organism in Eukaryota, Metazoa, Arthropoda, Malacostraca, Decapoda, Varunidae.
GCGACACUAGGCUACUCGAGGCAAUUUGGCGGCCUUGGAGAGGACUAGGGGAAGGAGGAGUAUAUGGGGUGGUAAGGGGAGAACCUAUGUGUCUGUCUGUCCGUGGACCCAGCAGUGCCUCUGUGUGUGCCUGGCGUGAUGGUGUGGGUGUGCGGCAGCAAUCUGGCGAUGGCGGCGGGAGGGGCGGCGAGGGCUGGCAGGGGCUGGGGCCUGGCGGCGUGGCGGCGCACCACGCCAGGCUUCAGGGGGCGGUGGACGACAACAGCUACAACACAGAAGGAAGCAAGGAGGCUUAUUAGUGACGCCAAGGGGAGCAGGAGCAGUGCGGAGCAUAAUAUAGUCUCCUCGCACGUCCCCGACGUCCCGCUGCCCUCUGGGAACGCUGCCGCCUACGUCCUGGAGACCGCUAAAGAAUGGCCCAACAGAACUGCGCUGGAGUGUUCGCUGACGGGCCGCAGCUACACGUACGGGCAGCUGGUGGACGCCGUGGCCAGGUGGGGCGGGCAGCUGCUGAGGCUGGGCCUGAGGCGGGGAGACACUCUGGCCGUGAUGAUGCUCAACUGCCCCGAGUACCCCGUGGUGGUGCUUGGGGCGCUCUCCGUCGGGGUGUCCUGCACGGGCAUUAAUCCGGUAUUUACUGCAGAGGAGGUGAGGCGGCAGCUGCAGGACAGUGGCGCCUCCCUGGUGGUGCAUGACAACCACACAGGCAAGGUGGUGGAGGCCGCGCUGGCCCUCCUGAAGAAGCCGCUGCUAAGGAUCCUAAACACAGACUCCUCGCCGCCCGCCGGAGUGGUCAGCCUGAGGGGCCUCCUGCAGGACUCAGCCGUGGCCUUCGCUGACCCCGUGGAGGUGAGCGGAAAGGAAGUGGCGCUGCUCCCGUACUCCAGCGGCACCACGGGUAAGCCCAAGGGUGUGCAGGUGUCCCACGGCGCCGUCAGUAGCAACGUUGCCAUGAACACCCACCCCAGCUUCUUCCCGCCGGCAGCCAGGGCAGAGUCCCAGCAUGAGACGUUCCUGUGCUUCCUGACGCUCUACCACGUGUACGGCCUCUUGCCCAUCAUGUCCUUGGGGCUGCGGAAAGGCGUCAAGAUUGUCACUGUGCCCAAGUUAGAGCUCGACGCCCUCGUGCCCCUGAUCAUGAAGCACAAGGUAAGCUUUCUGCACACUGUCCCUCCGGUUCUGAACUUCCUGGUGCAGUCUCCGGCUGUCACCCCCGAGUCCAUGGCGUCUGUCUGGUACGCACUGUGCGGGGCUGCUCCAGUGUCCCAGACGGCGGCGCGGGCACUGAAGGAAAAGGUGGACAAGCCGUUGAUCUUCCAGGAAGCAUAUGGGAUGACAGAGGCUCUCCUCACCCACAUCACCCCACUCAGCUCCACCGAUCUGUCCCUCAAGACCUUGGCCAACGUGAAGGUGAAGGUGGUUGACAUGGACACUCAGGAAGCUCUGCCAGCCAACCAGGAGGGAGAGAUUUGCUUCCUGACGCCCUCGAGGAUGAACGGUUACAUCAACAACGAGGCCGCCAUACGUGACACCAUAGACGAGGAGGGUUGGGUGCACUCCGGCGAUAUUGGACUGUAUGACGAAGACGGGGGCUUCAGGAUCGUGGACAGGGCCAAGGACCUCAUCAAGGUGAAGGGGAUGCAGGUAAGAAAGGCAGAAUUAGGGUACUACUGCUUGCUCCUCCCCCUCCUCCUCCUAAUCCUCCCCCUCUUUUUUCUCCAUGUACUUAUCCUCCAGGUGGCGCCCGCUGAGUUGGAGAAGGAGCUCUUGCAGCAUCCCAAGGUCAGGGAGGUGGGCGUAGUGGGGAUCCCGCACGACAGUCUGGGAGAGGCACCGCGCGCCUUCGUCGUCACUUCGAGUCCGGCCACAGAGAAGGAGAUACAAGAGUUCCUGGCGACACGCUUGGCCCUCCACAAGCAGCUGGCGGGCGGCGUGGUGUUCAUCUCGGAGCUGCCCAAAAACCCCACAGGCAAGAUCCUGCGGCGCCAGCUGAGGCAGCUCGGCUGAGACAUUUCGUCAAGAGGGUCGCCGCCGGCGAGGUGACUGCCGCAGCCUCAGAGAUCGUUUCGGGUACAGCAUCUUCGCUGCUGCGGCGACCAGGGGCCUUCAGGGCAUUGAUAAUGGGAUAUAGUGACCAGCACGAUGGAAGAUGGAGUAGUACUUCAAAACAAGUUGUGCUUGUGUGCGUGAUGCGAACAUUACAUAGUAACUAUAUGGGAAGUAGUGGAUCGACCCGGUGAACAGCAACACUGGUGCUGCAGGGCUAUCUACGCCUUGUGAGGAUCCUGAGACAAGAUGGUUAUAAGUUUCUAUUUUAAGGACGCCUCACCAUCGUCCCUCCUUUAUCGUAUGUGAAAACCCUUUCCAUUAAUAUUUGUGUGUUCCCCAUCAUUCCACUGUUCUGUAUGGCAUUGACCUCAACAUUACUACUGACUUCUAUUUGUUGUACUCCAAAAUUUGUAGCAUUAGAAUCCCUGCGUGUGGCAUUAACCUUCAUAUAACCCUUAGCAUUAACUUGUAUGCGUUGUACUCCACAGUGUGUACUAUUGUCAGCACCUAACUAAUGAUCCCUAUGUUGUAUUUUCUCGUAUCUCCUAUUUUUCAAGUAUGUGUUUUACCUUUCUAAUUAGUGUCUUACCUGUGCUAGUGUUGUUUUUUUGUGUGUCGCCUGGUUAUUGGCGAUAAUCGUUUGAUAUACCUGUGUUGUGUUCUACCUAGCAUUGUUUAUUUAUUAGCUUAUGGAUUUAGUUAGUUAUGAAUUGUGUAUUUGACUAACCAAAAUAUAUAUUUUUGAGUUUGGUGA